Molecule: long non-coding RNA, 1962 nt
Organism: Cygnus olor (mute swan)
Lineage: Eukaryota; Metazoa; Chordata; Aves; Anseriformes; Anatidae
Exons: 2
Source: RefSeq, a predicted model, not a curated record
CGAACAUCUCGCCCAUGCUAGCAGUGGUGGUGGAAGGCAAGCAGUCUCUGUGCAUGAUCUCCUCUGCGGAGUAGCAGUGGGGCAGAUUGUUCCUGGGGUGCCAUUUACUGGAGGGAUCAAUGGCAUAUUCCCUGAAGCUGCCCCUUUGAAGCGGAUCCGUGAAGGAGGAAAAUUGGGAGACGUCGGCUGACGUGGAGAGCUCGCCCCAGCCCGGCAGGGAGGUGCGGUCACGUGACGCCACGCCAAAUUGACAAGCGGCGGCUCCGGGCCCUCGCCCCUUCGGAGCCGGCUCGGGGGAUGCAACAGAUCGGCACGGCGCCGGGCCCCCCCCCCCCCCCCCCGGGGUAACGCAGCCCCCCUCCGGGGCACUGCCCCCCGCUCCGGGGGAUGCCCCCCCGAAGGGUACUGCACCCCCCCCGGCCGCCCGGUUCCCCGGCGGAGCGGCUUAGCCAUCCCCGCAGGGCUAGGUGAGAGCUCUCUGUUUGUUUGUUUGCUCGCCGGGCUGGAAAAAAAAAAAAGAAAAGAAAAAGCAAUGAGCGAGCAGGAGGAAUCCAGCGCCGAGCCCUUCGAGGAGGCUGCUGGCUAGCAGGAAGCUCCUGAAGGAGCGGCCGUGGCUUUUUUUUUUUUUUUUUCUUUUUUUAGCUCGCCUUGGUUCGCUCUGCCUGCCCACCGACCCAAGGGAAAAAGAGAAAAAAAAAAAAAAAAAAGACGCAAAAAAAAAGCCCUCGCCCUGCAGGGUUUUGCUGGAAACGUUACUAGGAAGAAUGUGCCAGGGUCAAGUCUGUACUGAUUUUCAUGGUGAAUAGAUUACAUGCUUGCAUUCAUGUUCACUUCCGAAGCGCUUAGUGUCUUCCUUCCCUUACUUACAUAUUAACCUCAAAUACCCCGCGCGGCUUCAUCCCAGCUUUACUAGAGGUAGCUCCAGAGAUUUCACUCCCCGAUCGCAGGUUCCCUUCCCUCGCCCCCCCAAACCGUCGCUCGCCUAUGUGCGACGCCAGAAAGCCCUUUAAACUGCAGACCGCUGAGCUCAAAAGUGUUUGCUGAUCUCUUCGCCUCCGCGCUGCUGCUAAAUACUUGGGAAACCAGGGGAUGUUGGGCUGCCCCGCUUUGACAAAUAUUCGGGGUUUAAUUGCCAGAAGCCUAGUUAAAAUGAUUUGACAUACUAUUAACCCCUAGGAACAAACUCGCCGUACCGUGAUGCUUGCCUUUUCGCCUCGUACCGUCGCUGAAGGCUGAGACCCAGGGAGACCUAUUUUAAAAACGUGGUUAAACUUUUACUAUUGUUGCAUGAAAGGGAUGAUAUAGAAAGCGGAUUGUACAGGGCAGAGACUAAAAAGCACUUCUCUGCCAAUAAAAAUGCACACCCCACCGAAUGAGCAGAGCCAAAGAAAACAGAGAAAUACGCCAAAGAAUACAGCACCUUUUCAGGCAUGGACAUCCCUCGGCUGUUGGAAAAAAAUAUUUUUUGCUAGUCUGAUGCUCGAUUUCAGAAAAGAAAUAUUUGGGUUCCGGCUGGAUUUAAUCAAAAUAGAAAAACAGAACGGCAAAAGGCUAUUGUGAAGUCGGUGCUCUUAUGAAAUUAGACGUGAUUCGAGAUCUGUCCCCCCCCUGGGCUUGGGAGGCUAAUGGAAGGGAAACUAAAAUGCUAGGGAAAUAAUAUUUGGAUUUCCCCCCCCCCCUCCCCUUCCUCUGCAGUGCUGUGGAAGUAUUUAUAUAUCCGGAGAAAGUUCUAUAGUAAAUUCUGGAGAUCUUCGGUAUUUAAAUGUCAACAUCGAUUUGUUUAUUUAUUGCUUAGCUUAUCGUAACUGACUCAAUAACAAAUCUAAUCAUGUUGUGCACAGAAAAAAUAUUCUCAUUAUGUAUUUUCCCUACAUUAUAGUUAACUAUUACAUUUGAAUUCAAGCUGUAAAUUCAAUAUUAUCAAGUAAUUACUUUGUAGUGGAGUAAACUAAUUUAUUAGCA